RNAcentral lists this non-coding RNA (205 nucleotides) under Atopostipes suicloacalis. Its description in RNAcentral is "T-box sequence". It matches the Rfam family "T-box leader". From Rfam's summary of the family: Uncharged tRNA acts as the effector for transcription antitermination of genes in the T-box leader family. Lineage: Bacteria; Bacillati; Bacillota; Bacilli; Lactobacillales; Carnobacteriaceae. The record is from RNAcentral.
AAUCUUGUGAUGAAGAGCCGAAGUAGUAGAGAUUGUCCCUGUGAUAGAGAGCUGGCGUUGGUGGAAGUCAGUACACACAUUCUUUGCGAAUUACAGCUUGGAGCAACUACAUAUUGUAGCGUUUUAGCCUUGCGUUAAAAGGAAAAGUGGAAUAAUGCAUCUCGUUAUUCAAUUAGGGUGGUAACACGGAAAAUUCGUCCCGGCA